Molecule: transfer RNA, 86 nt
Filed under: Duncaniella sp.
Lineage: Bacteria; Pseudomonadati; Bacteroidota; Bacteroidia; Bacteroidales; Muribaculaceae
Description: tRNA-Ser
Rfam family: tRNA
About the family: Transfer RNA (tRNA) molecules are approximately 80 nucleotides in length. Their secondary structure includes four short double-helical elements and three loops (D, anti-codon, and T loops).
Source: RNAcentral
GGAAAGAUGCCGGAGUGGUCGAUCGGGGCGGUCUCGAAAACCGUUGUCCUUUCGUGGGACCGGGGGUUCGAAUCCCUCUCUUUCCG